GUAAGUGGUUGAGUGGUCUUAACGGUUGGUUUUCGCCCACUAUGACCCGGGAUUAAAUCCCGCAUUGGGAAAUU
Molecule: transfer RNA, 74 nt
Filed under: Cordylochernes scorpioides
Lineage: Eukaryota; Metazoa; Arthropoda; Arachnida; Pseudoscorpiones; Chernetidae
Description: tRNA-Glu
Source: RNAcentral